Molecule: ribosomal RNA, 392 nt
Filed under: uncultured bacterium
Lineage: Bacteria
Description: partial 16S ribosomal RNA
Rfam family: Bacterial small subunit ribosomal RNA
Source: RNAcentral
AUACGGAGGAUCCGAGCGUUAUCCGGAUUUAUUGGGUUUAAAGGGUGCGCAGGCGGCCAUUUAAGUCAGCGGUUAAAUCGUGGGGCUCAACCCCAUUCUGCCGUUGAUACUGGGUGGCUUGAUUGCGGUCGAGGUUGGCGGAAUUCGUUGUGUAGCGGUGAAAGGCAUAGAUAUGACGAAGAACACCGAUUGCGUAGGCAACUGACCAGACCGCAAAUGACGCUGAUGCACGAAAGUGCGGGGAUCGAACAGGAUUAGAUGCCCUGGUAGUCGGCACAGUAAACGAUGAAUACUUGUUUUCGGCGAUAUAAUGUCGGAGGCAAAGCGAAAGCGAUAAGUAUUCCACCUGGGGAGUACGCCGGCAACGGUGAAACUCAAAGGAAUUGACGGGG